This 1981-nucleotide ribosomal RNA is filed under the name feces metagenome. RNAcentral's name for it is "bacterial LSU rRNA". It matches the Rfam family "Bacterial large subunit ribosomal RNA", at positions 462 to 2561 of the family's 2925-position model. The record is from RNAcentral.
AAGCCUAAGUACUCCUCUACGACCGAUAGUGAACAAGUACCGUGAGGGAAAGGUGAAAAGCACCCCGACAAGGGGAGUGAAACAGAUCCUGAAAUCGGAAGCCUACAAGCAGUCGGAGCCCCCAAGCGGGGUGACGGCGUACCUUUUGUAUAAUGGGUCAGCGACUUCAUGUGUCGAGCAAGCUUAAGCCGUUAGGUGUAGGCGCAGCGAAAGCGAGUCUGAAUAGGGCGCUAAGUUCGACGUAUGACGACCCGAAACCAGGUGAUCUAUCCAUGAGCAGGAUGAAGGUAAGGUAACACUUACUGGAGGUCCGAACCCGUGAAUGUUGAAAAAUUCUGGGAUGACUUGUGGAUAGGGGUGAAAGGCCAAUCAAACCUGGACAUAGCUGGUUCUCCGCGAAAUCUAUUUAGGUAGAGCGUCCGACGAAUACCCUGGGGGGUAGAGCACUGGAUGGUUGCGGGCUGCGCGAGCGGUACCAAUACUAACCAAACUCCGAAUACCCAGGAGUACUAUCGGGCAGACACACGGCGGGUGCUAACGUCCGUCGUGAAAAGGGAAACAACCCUAACCAUCAUCUAAGGCCCCCAAGUCAUGGCUAAGUGGGAAACGAUGUGGGAUUGCUUUGACAAUCAGGAGGUUGGCUUAGAAGCAGCCAUCCUUUAAAGAAAGCGUAACAGCUCACUGAUCAAGCGAUCCUGCGCGGAAAAUGUAACGGGGCUAAAGCCAUGCGCCGAAGAUAUGGGUUUGCAGUUUACUGCAAGCGGUAGCGGAGCGUUCCGUAAGCCUGUGAAGGUCAACCGUGAGGUUGGCUGGAGGUAUCGGAAGUGAGAAUGCUGACAUGAGUAACGAUAAACAGUGUGAGAAACACUGUCGCCGAAAGACCAAGGGUUCCUGCGUAAAGCUAAUCUGCGCAGGGUUAGUCGGCCCCUAAGGCGAGGCUGAAAAGCGUAGUCGAUGGGAAGCAGGUAAAUAUUCCUGCACCAGCUGGAAGUGACGGAUGGCAUAAGUCGUCGGGGCUUAUUGGAUUGUUCCCGGCGGUGGCGUUGUCCCUGGAAAUAACUCCAGCAGAGACCGUACCCGAAACCGACACAGGUGGUCAGGUAGAGUAUACCAAGGCGCUUGAGAGAACUGUGCUGAAGGAACUCGGCAAAUUGCACGCGUAACUUCGGAAUAAGCGUGACUCACCCUGGGCAACCAGGAAUGAGUGGCACAAGCCAGGGGGUAGCGACUGUUUAGCAAAAACAUAGGGCUCUGCGAAGCAUCAAUGCGACGUAUAGGGUCUGACGCCUGCCCGGUGCCUGAAGGUUAAAGGGAGGAGUGAAAGCUCCGAACUGAAGCCCAGGUAAACGGCGGCCGUAACUAUAACGGUCCUAAGGUAGCGAAAUUCCUUGUCGGGUAAGUUCCGACCUGCACGAAUGGCGUAACGACUUCCCCACUGUCUCCAGCACAGGCUCAGUGAAAUUGAAUUCCCCGUGAAGAUGCGGGGUUCCCGCGGUCAGACGGAAAGACCCUAUGAACCUUUACUAUAGCUUCGCCUUGGCGUUAGCGACCGUAUGUGUAGGAUAGGUGGGAGGCUAUGAAGCCGGGGCGCCAGCUCUGGUGGAGCCAUCCUUGAAAUACCACCCUUACUGUCGUUGACGUCUAACCGAGGGCCGUUAUCCGGUCCCGGGACAUGGCGUGGUGGGUAGUUUGACUGGGGCGGUCGCCUCCCAAAGUGUAACGGAGGCGCGCGAUGGUUAGCUCAGACCGGUCGGAAAUCGGUCGUCGAGUGCAAUGGCAUAAGCUAGCCUGACUGCGAGACUGACAAGUCGAGCAGAGACGAAAGUCGGCCAUAGUGAUCCGGUGGUCCCGCGUGGAAGGGCCAUCGCUCAACGGAUAAAAGGUACUCUAGGGAUAACAGGCUGAUUUUGCCCAAGAGUCCAUAUCGACGGCAAAGUUUGGCACCUCGAUGUCGGCUCAUCACAUCCUGGGGCUGGAGCAG